This 133-nucleotide ribosomal RNA is filed under the name uncultured bacterium. Its description in RNAcentral is "partial 16S ribosomal RNA". The record is from RNAcentral.
UAGCCGAUGCUUAUUCUUCAGGUACACGUCAUUUUGUUCCUCCCUGAAAAAGAGGUUUACAACUCAUAGGCCGUCAUCCCUCACGCGAGAUUGCUCCGUCAGGCUUUCGCCCAUUGACGGAAAAACUUCCCCA